RNAcentral lists this transfer RNA (73 nucleotides) under Candidatus Neoehrlichia procyonis str. RAC413. RNAcentral describes it as "Candidatus Neoehrlichia lotoris str. RAC413 tRNA". It matches the Rfam family "tRNA". Rfam says of the family: Transfer RNA (tRNA) molecules are approximately 80 nucleotides in length. Their secondary structure includes four short double-helical elements and three loops (D, anti-codon, and T loops). Further hydrogen bonds mediate the characteristic L-shaped molecular structure. tRNAs have two regions of fundamental functional importance: the anti-codon, which is responsible for specific mRNA codon recognition, and the 3' end, to which the tRNAs corresponding amino acid is attached (by aminoacyl-tRNA synthetases). tRNAs cope with the degeneracy of the genetic code in two manners: having more than one tRNA (with a specific anti-codon) for a particular amino acid; and 'wobble' base-pairing, i.e. permitting non-standard base-pairing at the 3rd anti-codon position. The record is from Rfam by way of RNAcentral. Lineage: Bacteria; Pseudomonadati; Pseudomonadota; Alphaproteobacteria; Rickettsiales; Anaplasmataceae.
GGGGGUAUAGCUUAGCUGGUAGAGCGUCUGCUUUGCACGCAGAAGGUCAGCGGUUCGACUCCGCUUACCUCCA